RNAcentral lists this ribosomal RNA (378 nucleotides) under uncultured archaeon. Its description in RNAcentral is "bacterial SSU rRNA". It matches the Rfam family "Archaeal small subunit ribosomal RNA", at positions 345 to 727 of the family's 1478-position model. The record is from RNAcentral.
AAACUUUACAAUGCGGGAAACCGUGAUAAGGGAACUCCGAGUGCCCGUUAAAUCGGGCUGUCCAUCUGCUUAAAACACAGGUGAAGAAAGGGCCGGGCAAGACCGGUGCCAGCCGCCGCGGUAAUACCGGCGGCUCGAGUGGUGGCCACUAUUACUGGGCUUAAAGCGUUCGUAGCUGGUUUGUUAAGUCUCUGGGGAAAUCUUCCGGCUUAACCGGAAGGCGUCUCAGGGAUACUGGCAGACUAGGGACCGGAGGAGGUGAGGGGUACUCCAGGGGUAGGAGUGAAAUCCUGUAAUCCUUGGGGGACCACCUGUGGCGAAGGCGCCUCACCAAGACGGCUCCGACAGUGAGGGACGAAAGCUGGGGGAGCAAACCGG